This 262-nucleotide long non-coding RNA is filed under the name Ananas comosus (pineapple). Its description in RNAcentral is "long non-coding RNA (ACOM_LNC036173)". The record is from RNAcentral. Lineage: Eukaryota; Viridiplantae; Streptophyta; Magnoliopsida; Poales; Bromeliaceae.
AUAUAUAUAUUCUCAUUAUGUCACUAUGCAUUAUCAUCUAGUAAUUACAUUAUAUGCAUCAACAUGGAUUCUUAACUCGCUUAGACAUAAAGGGCGACCUAGUCGCUUCGGUAAACACAACCCACCUUAACACGCGUUCCGAUUGCUCGUCGACACUUGCAAUCGGCCUCCCGCGGCACUCGACACCCGCUUCGGCUCGAACUCUUGCGCGACCACCCGAACGGCCACCAAUCGGCGAUCCGUCUAUUCUGGGGUUUAUUCC